CUUAUUGAAAAUUGUAGUAUUAGAGUGUGUUAAAUUUGAUAUUGCUAAAAAGAUUAGCGAAUAAUACACUUGCAAACAGUUUGUGGUAACUCCAUUGAUGUUUCUCUGUUUCAGCAUUAAUCAAGUCUGAUCUGAGAAGAUACAACAUAAAUAUAGGACUUACAAAUGGUGAAAUUAAAGCUGUGCCAGUUGAUAGUCCCAUGGAUCAAAAACCAAGAGCAGUUAUAUUACCCAAGCAGUCAGAAUCAUCCAUUUGAAGCAGAAGAAGAAGUUGGGAUCCCUGAGAAAUUGGGAUGCAGCACGAUGAUCUUUGGAGAGUAUGGCUAGGCUGACAGGUGGUGGAGAUGGACAUUUACUUGAAAAUUACUGUGUAAACUCUAAAUGAACAGUGGUUAUUUUGUUUAAUUGUUAAUUUGAGCAAUAUUUUGCUUAGAAUAAUUUGCUUAUAUCAUGUAACACUACCAUUUAACUAGUGUCCUGUUUUUACUUGUAUAUUGUGUCUGAAAGUAAGCUUUUUAACACUUACUCAGAAGUGAGAUUUUUUGUUUUGUUUUAUAGAAAAUGGGAGCUUAGAAGACUUUGUAAAUGAUAAUGUAGGGGUCCACUUCCCCUAAGAUAUGCCAUUUAUAUAUAAAAAUAUUCAGUAAGACUAAAUGUACCAAAUACUCCUAAUUGACUACCUGUCCACUGUGCUGACCAGCUGUCGAGGCCACCUCAGCACUAGUGUAGUGUAACAAUGGGAUGCUCCUAACCCAUCAGAGGACAGUGUUGGGAUCAGGCUUUCAGAUGAACUCUAAGAUAGUUCCCCUUUUUUUGUGAUGGGACUGGGGUUGGAACUCAGGGCCUCCAGCUUGCAAAGCACGUGCUGUACGGCUUGAACUAUUACCUCCAGUUCCCCUCUUUCAUUAGCAUUCAGACAAAUGCUAGUGCUGUAUUUUUUCACUCCAACUUGAAAUAGAGUAGCUAUUUCAAGAACUCAUUGUUCUUUUUUACUUUCUACUUUUUUUCAAUAUGUAACUUUCUGCAAGACAAUUUCAUCAUGUGCUGUUGAUUAUUUCAUGAUUUCAUAUAUCAUAUCCUAUAUUUUGCCUUGAAGACUCCUGAGAUAAGGAAAUCUGUGAUAACUUUAGAUGGCCCUGGUGCCCCCUUUAGUGGAAACCUCUUGAAAUACUAACUGCUCUGAUUUUGCAGUAUCAUUUUUAUGACCUUUGUCCUUUGAGGAAUACUAUGUCCAGACACAUGUUCCAUCAAUGUGCUAUGGAAUGGAUUCUCUCCUUCACCACAGAGUAUGUACGUAGUCACCGCUCUGUUAGAACAGUCUGCUCUC
RNAcentral lists this long non-coding RNA (1327 nucleotides) under Castor canadensis (American beaver). RNAcentral describes it as "lncRNA (ENSCCNG00000030150.1)". Lineage: Eukaryota; Metazoa; Chordata; Mammalia; Rodentia; Castoridae. The record is from RNAcentral.